GGUUAAGUGAAUAAGGGCGCACGGUGGAUGCCUUGGCACUAGGAGCCGAUGAAGGACGGGACUAACACCGAUAUGCUUUGGGGAGCUGUAAGUAAGCUAUGAUCCAGAGAUUUCCGAAUGGGGGAACCCAAUAUCUUUUAUAGGAUAUUACUUUUCAGUGAAUACAUAGCUGAUUAGAGGUAGACGCAGAGAACUGAAACAUCUUAGUACCUGCAGGAAGAGAAAGAAAAUUCGAUUCCCUGAGUAGCGGCGAGCGAAACGGGAAGAGCCCAAACCAACAAGCUUG
RNAcentral lists this ribosomal RNA (286 nucleotides) under Enterococcus faecalis. Its description in RNAcentral is "partial 23S ribosomal RNA". It matches the Rfam family "Bacterial large subunit ribosomal RNA", at positions 1 to 285 of the family's 2925-position model. The record is from RNAcentral. Lineage: Bacteria; Bacillati; Bacillota; Bacilli; Lactobacillales; Enterococcaceae.